UACGGGGGGGGCAAGCGUUGUUCGGAAUUACUGGGCGUAAAGGGCUCGUAGGCGGCCAACUAAGUCAGACGUGAAAUCCCUCGGCUUAACCGGGGAACUGCGUCUGAUACUGGAUGGCUUGAGGUUGGGAGAGGGAUGCGGAAUUCCAGGUGUAGCGGUGAAAUGCGUAGAUAUCUGGAGGAACACCGGUGGCGAAGGCGGCAUCCUGGACCAAUUCUGACGCUGAGGAGCGAAAGCCAGGGGAGCAAAACGGG
Molecule: ribosomal RNA, 254 nt
Filed under: uncultured bacterium
Lineage: Bacteria
Description: partial 16S ribosomal RNA
Rfam family: Bacterial small subunit ribosomal RNA
Source: RNAcentral